Spea bombifrons (plains spadefoot toad) is the source of this 213-nucleotide long non-coding RNA. RefSeq lists it as uncharacterized. The record is from RefSeq and is a predicted model, not a curated record. Lineage: Eukaryota; Metazoa; Chordata; Amphibia; Anura; Pelobatidae. The transcript has 3 exons.
AGUCCAGUGAUAUUUCAAAGAUGCCCAUCUAUGACAUGCAGUGCUUUGCAUUAUGUCUGGACGUGGAUUGCAAGUUAACACCGUCGUGACAGCCCAUUGGUGCUAAUGCAAGAGCUUUGUGCUUCUCCCACAACAUGUCUCGUUGGAUAUCUGUCCUCGUGUCUACACUCCAGCCAUGUGACCUGAUUGACAGUGGUGUUGAGAUGAUGGAUU